This is a long non-coding RNA of Leucoraja erinaceus (little skate), 1556 nucleotides long. RefSeq lists it as uncharacterized. The record is from RefSeq and is a predicted model, not a curated record. NCBI's taxonomy places the organism in Eukaryota, Metazoa, Chordata, Chondrichthyes, Rajiformes, Rajidae. The transcript has 3 exons.
GCACAAAGUCUCCAGAGGUUUCCGUUCAGGUUUCCUAAGUGGGACAGGGGCAUUACAGUGCCAGAGACCCGGGUCUGAUCCUGACUACAGGUGCCAUCUGUACAGAGUUUGUACGUUCUCCCCGUGACCGCGUGGGUUUUCUCUGGGAUCUCCGAUUUCCUCCCACACACCAAAGACGUGCUGCUUUGCAGGUUCACUGGCUUGGUAUGAAUGCAAAUUGUCCCUAGUGUGUGGGAUCGUGUAAGCGUGUGGUCGCCGCUGACUCGAUGGGCCAAAAGGGUUGUUACACUGUAUCUCUAAACUAAACCAAACUAAAAUUUUGAAGUUUUAAAGUAAGGAUUUCUAGACUGAAAUGAAAUACAAUAAGAUUUAUAAAAGGGCUCUGUGGUGUUGUUCUACAGUAGCCUUCCCCCCUCUCUGAUUCAGUGGGCGAGUGCUGCUGGGUUGGAUGCCUGGGUAUGGAUCUGUUUGACAGGCUGUACACAUGCACCUGUGUAAACAGAAGGAAGCCUUGGAGUGAUUCGGAAUAAAGAUACAGACCAAGCCACAGAGCCAGUGUGUCUAGACUCCAGAUGUGCUCCCCAUCCCCUUGCAACCAGCUCGGCAAUUAAAGGCUAACAGGCAAACAUGUACCGAGGGACAAGGACUCGGAAUUCAUAGUUAAAAGCCGAUGCCUUCCGGCUGAACAGUUGUCCGGUUCUGGUAUGAAAUCUCAAAGUCUGUCUCGUGGCUCGUUAUCUGUGUAUUUCACUUUUUAAGUUAAUCGUAUUAGCCAACUUGCACUUCAAGGUCCUCCUCCACCAGCCAAUGUAGUUCUGGAGUUCAGUUGAUUGGAGAAUGUGGACUUGCUUCAUCUUUGAUGGUGCCGACAGUCACUGGCUCCCUCCCAAUGUCUGGCCAAUAUCUUAAGUUGUAACUGACCAUUCUCAACCACAGUGAUUUUGCAGAGCAUUAGGCUGGAGGAUUACUCAGAGUAUAAUCAAUGUGGUGGAAUAAUAAAAGAAGCUUGCAGGCCUGCUGAGUACCAUCACAUCUCCAGAUUCAGGCAUAGGUUCAUCUCAUCUGUUAUCAAGCGACAGAACCACCCAACCAACAACUAGAGAGCAGUCCUGAGCUACUAUCUACCUCAUUGGAGACCCUUGGACUAUCUUUACAUGGACUAUACUGGACGUUAUCUUACUCGAGGAGCAAGGAGGUCCUAUUGUACCGGGCCCCGGGCCUACAACAUCUGGAAGGCGUGGUCUCCGGUAAGGAGGUGGCCGAUUUGGGAGCUCCAGGCUGCUGGGAGCGCUCGACCUGUCCUGACCAUCCCGACAAGAGGGCUUGGACAUCGGGCCGUCCAUAGCGGCGACUACGGAGGAUCAGUGCCCGACCACGGGUGAACAAGGGAGGAGGAGGAGGAGGACUGUCUGAACUGCAUUGCCUUCCACCACAGUGAAGAAUGCUGUGGUGGAUGUCUGUGUUGAAUUAAGUUGUGUAUUGUGUCCGUUUUAAUUGUAACGUGGUAAAUUACAUUUCUUAUGGUGCAUGUGACAAAUAAAUUUGAACUUGAACUU